This 468-nucleotide ribosomal RNA is filed under the name uncultured bacterium. RNAcentral's name for it is "partial 16S ribosomal RNA". It matches the Rfam family "Bacterial small subunit ribosomal RNA", at positions 28 to 507 of the family's 1533-position model. The record is from RNAcentral.
GACGAACGCUGGCGGCGUGCUUAACACAUGCAAGUCGAACGGAAAGGCCCUGCUUUUGUCGGGUGCUCGAGUGGCGAACGGGUGAGUAACCCGUGAGUAACCUGCCCUUGACUUUGUGAUAACUUCAGGAAACUGGGGCUAAUACCGGAUAGGUGCUCCUGCUGCAUGGUGGGCGUUGGAAAGUUUCGGCGGUUGGGGAUGUACUCGCGGCUUAUCAGCUUGUUGGUGGGGUAGUGGCUUACCAAGGCUUUGACGGGUAGCCGGCCUGAGAGGGUGACCGGCCACAUUGGGACUGAGGUACGGCCCAGACUCCUACGGGAGGCAGCAGUGGGGAGUAUUGCACAAUGGGCGGAAGCCUGAUGAAGCAACGCCGCGUGCGGGAUGACGGCCUACGGGUUAUAAACCGCUUUAGCCUGAGACGAAGCGUGAGUGACGGUAAUGGGUAAAGAAGCACCGGCUAACUACGUG